GCUGGGGAAUGGUAUGGCUUGUGAAACUAGAGAGGCUCCAAUUGCAAGUCAACGAACAUCAAUCAAAAUCCCUUUCUUCCCCGAAGACACUAUUAGAUAAUGAGGACAAGUUCCUCUGAUUGCUACACACAGAUUCAUUUUCUUAUUUAUAUCCAGCCCCCACUACUCCUCCUAAUAAUGUUAAUUUGUCUCGUAACGUUGAGAACAACGCACUCCUUGCCACAUGGGACGCUGUUGAGACCACACCCCCUGAGGGAGAGGUAGCGUUCUAUCAGGUUGAAUUUAAGGACACGAGAUCCUUCAUUGCUAACACGCUGUUCAUUAAUCCAGGGUUUAGUUUCUCUAGUAUAUUCAAUGUCAGUAAUGCUCAGGGAUAUCAAGUGAGGGUAAGGACAGCAGUCCAGAGUACAGCUAAUCCUGAUGUUACUUAUGUGUACAGUCCAUACAGUAGGUGGGCCUCAGUCAGUGGCAUUAUAAUAGAAGUUCCUUCUGGAGCACCAACAAUAAUACCAGUUGAUGAUAAUAAUGACAGGACACUUGAGAUUGUUAUUCCAGCAGUUGUUGGGGGCAUUGUUGUUGCGAUAUGUAUUGUAUUAUCAAUUUUAAUAUUAUAUAAAAUAAAACCUCGUAAUUCUACGUCACCCAGUGCUACUAAUGAAGACUUUGACAUGAAGAAACAGCUUAGUGAUACUGAUGAUGCUGCCGAUGGAGGAGGUGAUGGAUCAGGUUCUUAGUAUUCUAACUAUAAUAGUAUAGACCUACCACUGCAUAGAGGCAUAUAAUAAGAACCAGUGAUUGAUUAAUGUUUUUAAUACACUUUUCAUGUUAUUGAGUACAUAUUUAGUGUCCAGUCUAACACUGUUUUGUCUUUGUUUGAUUUUUUUUGCUUCCAAAGAAAUUUUUUCUGAAUACCAUA
This is a long non-coding RNA of Amphimedon queenslandica, 916 nucleotides long. RefSeq lists it as uncharacterized. Lineage: Eukaryota; Metazoa; Porifera; Demospongiae; Haplosclerida; Niphatidae. The record is from RefSeq and is a predicted model, not a curated record. The transcript has 7 exons.